GAGUUUGAUCGUGGCUCAGGAUGAACGCUGGCGGCGUGCCUAAUACAUGCAAGUCGAGCGAACGGACGAGAAGCUUGCUUCUCUGAUGUUAGCGGCGGACGGGUGAGUAACACGUGGAUAACCUACCUAUAAGACUGGGAUAACUUCGGGAAACCGGAGCUAAUACCGGAUAAUAUUUUGAACCGCAUGGUUCAAAAGUGAAAGACGGUCUUGCUGUCACUUAUAGAUGGAUCCGCGCUGCAUUAGCUAGUUGGUAAGGUAACGGCUUACCAAGGCAACGAUGCAUAGCCGACCUGAGAGGGUGAUCGGCCACACUGGAACUGAGACACGGUCCAGACUCCUACGGGAGGCAGCAGUAGGGAAUCUUCCGCAAUGGGCGAAAAGCCUGACGGAGCAACGCCGCGUGAGUGAUGAAGGUCUUCGGAUCGUAAAACUCUGUUAUUAGGGAAGAACAUAUGUGUAAGUAACUGUGCACAUCUUGACGGUACUAAUCAGAAAGCACGGCUAACUACGUCG
Molecule: ribosomal RNA, 516 nt
Filed under: uncultured microorganism
Description: bacterial SSU rRNA
Rfam family: Bacterial small subunit ribosomal RNA
Source: RNAcentral